GUGCUCCCAUGGCAACUGGCCAAGGAGGAGUACCUCUCUGCACAGAAGUAAAAUUGCUUUGCUGAAAAUCCUUUGUUUGAGUGUUCAAUUUCCUUAGGAUUUUGAGCAUUAUUUCUAACAAUUCUGGCGCCCAACGUGGGGAAAAUAUUCUCCUUUGGGAGGUGGUCUUCGGUCACCCCACCCAUCGGGGAUGCGUCCCACUGUCUAGUUACAGUGGCCCAAUGGGAUCAGGGCCCCCAUUGCGAUGAAUAAAUCUGGGUUCUCAGCAAAGUGGGGAGGAGAGGCUUGCAAGACCAUGGCAAUAAGAGGACAAGAUAACUCUUCUGCAUGAACCAAGGAAAUGUUGGAGGCUUUUGAAGAAGAGGCUAAAGGAACAGGACACCCCAGGCUGUGUAUCACAGCAGCUAUAUCUGCUGGCAAGGAGACCAUUGAUGCAGGAUAUGAAAUUUCAGAGAUCAAGAAGUGAGUGCAGUGUGUCUCUCGGGAGUUCCCAAAUCCCAGAGCAGAGAUUUCUAAACUUUUUGGUGGACAGCAUCCCAAGCAGUGCUGAGAAAACUGCCCUGUGGCUGGAGGCGAGAUAUGCUGGCGGAAAUGCUGCUCUGUUACUCUUUGCUACACUGAGGUGUUUGGGUGGAGAGAAGCAUAAAUCUGGCCUGCGUGCACGUCCAGGCAUAGUACCUUCCUUGAACUUAUUUGUGACACAGAUUCCUUUGCUCACAUGUUUUCUUGCUGACCUCCCCACUAUCACCCUGUUCUCCUGCCACAUUCCCCUUGCUAAGAUAGUGAAAAUAAUAAUUAAUAAAUACUGAGGGAACUCAGAGACCAGUGCUGGUGCAGGACCUCUGUAUGCUGAGCACUGGUUUCUGGGCCCACUGUUCUUUCUCU
Molecule: long non-coding RNA, 885 nt
Filed under: Pongo abelii (Sumatran orangutan)
Lineage: Eukaryota; Metazoa; Chordata; Mammalia; Primates; Hominidae
Description: lncRNA (ENSPPYG00000032988.1)
Source: RNAcentral